RNAcentral lists this ribosomal RNA (306 nucleotides) under Amoebophrya sp. Its description in RNAcentral is "SSU rRNA". It matches the Rfam family "Eukaryotic small subunit ribosomal RNA", at positions 595 to 906 of the family's 1831-position model. The record is from RNAcentral. Lineage: Eukaryota; Dinophyceae; Syndiniales; Amoebophryaceae.
UAGCGUAUAUUAAAGUUGUUGCGGUAAAAAAGCUCGUAGUUGGAUUUCUGCUUGAGAUGACCGGUCCACACAAUGUGUGCGCAUCUGGUUCAGCUUAGGCAUCCUCUCGACAGACGUUUCUGCGCUUGAUUGCGUGGAGCGGAUUUCGGGACUUUUACUUUGAGGAAAUUAGAGUGUUCACGGCAGGCUAUCGCCAGAAUACAUUAGCAUGGAAUAAUACUAUAGGAUCUUGGUUCUAUUUUGUUGGUUUCUAGGAUUAAGAUAAUGAUUAAUAGGGACAAUUGGGGGCAUUCGUAUCAACACGUC